AGACUCUGUGCGCGUGCAUAUCAAUAAGCGGAGGAAAAGAAACUAACAAGGAUUCCCUAGUAACGGCGAGUGAAGCGGGAAGAGCUCAAAUUUGAAAUCUUAAGGGUUUCCCUUGACGAAUUGUAGUUUAAAGAAGUGUUUUCUGUUGGAGUUUCGGUAAAAGUUCUUUGGAAUAGGACAUCAUAGAGGGUGAGAAUCCCGUAUUUGAUCGUUACUUUCCAGCUGUGUGAUACACUUUCAAAGAGUCGGAUUGUUUGGGAAUGCAGUCCAAAAUGGGUGGUAAAUUUCAUCUAAAGCUAAAUAUUGGCGAGAGACCGAUAGCGAACAAGUACCGUGAGGGAAAGAUGAAAAGAACUUUGAAAAGAGAGUUAAACAGUACGUGAAAUUGUCGAAAGGGAAGCGUUUGACACCAGUGUUGUUUAGUUCGAAAAUCAAUUCAAUAGUUUUUGAUUCUAAGUAGUAUUGACUUCAUCAGCUUGCUGCUUUCUUUUCCGAAAUUAUUGAAUGUACUUUUCAGUUAACAAGUCAACAUCAAUUUCUUUUGUUGUAAAAGGGUAAGAGGAAGGUGGCUUACGCUUCGGCGUAAGUGUUUAUAGCCUUUUACCUCUGCAAUCGGAGAGAUUGAGGACAGCAGCGUAGACUCCUUCGGGGGUUAGAUACACUUGUGCUAAGCUAUAGCCUUGUAUAGACAACUUGUUGACUAUGCUCAGUCAUGUAGCUUACUCGCUUGUGCUAUUUUACCUACGCUUAGGAUGUUGACAGCAGUAUAGACUGU
RNAcentral lists this ribosomal RNA (775 nucleotides) under uncultured Neocallimastigales. Its description in RNAcentral is "partial large subunit ribosomal RNA". It matches the Rfam family "Eukaryotic large subunit ribosomal RNA", at positions 23 to 637 of the family's 3401-position model. The record is from RNAcentral. Lineage: Eukaryota; Fungi; Neocallimastigomycota; Neocallimastigomycetes; Neocallimastigales.